Molecule: ribosomal RNA, 253 nt
Filed under: uncultured bacterium
Lineage: Bacteria
Description: partial 16S ribosomal RNA
Rfam family: Bacterial small subunit ribosomal RNA
Source: RNAcentral
UACGUAGGGGGCAAGCGUUGUCCGGAUUUACUGGGCGUAAAGAGCGUGUAGGCGGCCACGCAGGUCCGUUGUGAAAACUGGAGGCUCAACCUCCAGCUGUCGACGGAAACCGUGUGGCUAGAGUCCGGAAGAGGAGAGUGGAAUUCCUGGUGUAGCGGUGAAAUGCGCAGAUAUCAGGAAGAACACCAAUGGCGAAGGCAGCUCUCUGGGACGUGACUGACGCUGAGACGCGAAAGCGUGGGGAGCAAACAGG